GGAGAGGUGGCAGAGUGGUUGAUCGCGCACGCUUGGAAAGCGUGUAUACUUUAACCGGUAUCGUGGGUUCAAAUCCCACCCUCUCCG
This 87-nucleotide transfer RNA is filed under the name candidate division WOR-1 bacterium RIFOXYA2_FULL_41_14. RNAcentral describes it as "tRNA-Ser". It matches the Rfam family "tRNA". From Rfam's summary of the family: Transfer RNA (tRNA) molecules are approximately 80 nucleotides in length. Their secondary structure includes four short double-helical elements and three loops (D, anti-codon, and T loops). Lineage: Bacteria; Bacillati. The record is from RNAcentral. RNAcentral also lists the same sequence under 3 other names.